GGCUGGGAAAAGGAUGAUGAGAACAACAUUAUUUUCUUGUGGUCUUAGUUGUUGAUGAUGAUAAGUCAUGAAAGUGACGAGUUUUCGAACCUUGGCCUUCUUGGACAUGACGUUGGAGGAUAUGCUAGCCAUGACAUUGUAGGGCGACGUGGCAAAUUAAAAGUGGUCGAAGGUAAGGUACCAGAUGGGGUGUAUCACGCCUGAUGUGCACAUCUAUGGUGGCAUUUUUGUCACCACCUCCACUUUCCUAGAACGUUGUUCCCAUGUGCAAGGGUUGGAAAAUGAAAAGAAAGAACAUGGCUAGGGUUUUGACAAUAGAAUUAGAAAAGAGAGAAUUAGAAAGAGGUGUGUUGUAUGUGCUUGCUUUAGAGGGAAAGGCCAUAUUAUUCUGUUUCCCACUGUGUGCAAACACACUCACUCCUCACUCUCUCGUGU
Molecule: long non-coding RNA, 435 nt
Filed under: Vigna radiata
Lineage: Eukaryota; Viridiplantae; Streptophyta; Magnoliopsida; Fabales; Fabaceae
Description: long non-coding RNA (VRAD_LNC007362)
Source: RNAcentral